Molecule: long non-coding RNA, 776 nt
Organism: Myodes glareolus (Bank vole)
Lineage: Eukaryota; Metazoa; Chordata; Mammalia; Rodentia; Cricetidae
Source: RefSeq, a predicted model, not a curated record
GUUAGGACAGAAGAACAUCCCGCUUCAUUAGUUUGCUAGAUCCCUCUUCAAAGAGCUAUUUUUCCCUGUGGCUCAGUCUGUUACAGCCCCAAAGAAGGCACCGAAGGGAUCUGCGCCAUUCCAGAAGAAGAAUGACGUCACAGACUAGCCAAUCCCCAGCAGACUGUUGAACGUAGUUUUCACCAAGAAGAGCAUAGGCUCAAAACUGGCUCCCGGCAGGGUUUUACAACACAACUUAUACCAGAAGACCUCUUCUUCAAAGGCCCACCCUCACCACGCCUCUCCCCUCCCACCUCUCCCUCUCCCCUCAAGCCAAACAAGCAAGUCAGGUAUUCACAGGACAAAGCAAAGAAAAUCCAAUCAAGCCCUGAGAAACCGAUCAAACCCAGACUGUGGUUCACAGCCCAUCAUGGACUUGAAAGCAACAAAACUCCACUGAAGUGAACCUCAAAGGCCGGAUGUGCUCUGCCCGUGAAAUGUACUUCCCAGUUUCUGCCUGCUCGCCAUGGGAGCAGGGUCUCCAGGAACCCAGGCACUGCCCCGCCCAGAGUGCAAAGGCAGAAAACGGGCUGAGUAGGUUACUCUCUGCUACGUUUUCUGUUUGCACAUAGCCUAUGAAUUUGAGAAGCUAUAAAAAUGAAAGAAGAAAGGGCAUUUUAUUACCCUCUCUUCUUUCUUCCAGGAAAGUCUAAAGUACAUAGCUUAAUAUUUCUUUCACUCCGAAACACAGCUGUGUACUGCUUUUAAGUAAAGUUAUACUUUCUUUUAUUAACGUG